GCAUAAUCCAAAGCGACUUAGAGUUGUGACAGUAUAAAGUCUAAGCCAUUGAGAGUCAAGGGUCUUGCUCAAGGGUCCAACAGUGGCAACUUGGUGGUGGUGGUGGGGCUUGAACCAGCAACUUUCUGAUUAAUAGUACAGUACCUUUUUUUUUUUCUAUUUUUAAUUUUAUAUUUCCCCCCAAAUUUUCUCCCCUAAUCUAGUCGUGUCCAAUUACCCUGAUUGCAUCCUCCACUGAUUCAACCCUCCACCGCUGACUGAGGACGCUUCUCAACUGACACACACCCCCUCCGACACGUGCUCAGUACAGACUGCAUUUUUCACCUGCACGAUUCGAGUUUAUACAUACAGAUCAGCACUGUGCGCGGAGAGCCACACCCUGAUCAGCAUUAUUCCUCAGCCCUGUGCAGGCGCCUUCACGUAAUUGCACCAGUUAUGAGGACCCAUGAUCUGUAGCAGCAACAAAUUUAUUUCAUCAUCUUAAUCAAUUGUUACGGCCUAGUCUAGGUUAGGCUGCAACACAUAUAAGGAAAAUGGUAUAGUUAGGGGAAAAUAGACCACCAAGAACAAAAGAGUAAGUUUUAACCAAGUGUAUUUACAAUUGUGAGACAAAGCAAACCAGUAUACCUUCAGGAGUGACCCAGGCCAAAAUAACAAACAAAACACACACUAUCUAAUGUACCCACUAAAACUAGCUUCCCUAAAACAAAAGAAGAAUUAAAAUAAAAGACAAAGUACUUCCCUAACUCCCUACCUAACAUAAACAGAGCACAUAACAUAGAUGACAAACAAAAUGGCAGCCACUCCCUACCACUGGUGUACAAACAACAUAGCUAUAUACAAGUGAAUUAUUUACAUAGCAAUCUAAAUCCAAAUCAGUAAGCUUUCUCAGUAGUCACAAAUACAGGUAAAAUGGUCAUACACAGGCAACAAGGCAAUAGGCAACAGGCAAAUUUAAACAAGCAAAAGGCAAUGGGCAAAAAGGCAAACACACACAACAAGCUCCAAACAAAAGAGAGAGAGCGAGGCGGGGCUCCUCAGCUCCUUUUAAAGGUGAAUGGCAGAGAUGAAGACCUGGGGUGGAUCUGAUCCAGGAGGGUAGGAGGUAGACUCUGGACUGGAUCCUGGAACACAUAUAUACAUAUACAUAUACAACACAACAUUUUAUGGACAUGACACCUCCCCCCAUAAAGUUGAACUUUACAAAAGUUCAUUCAAGGGGUCAUAACAACGUGACAAGGCAUCAGCUACAAUAUUUUCAGAGCCCUUUCUGUGAAGGAUAACCAAAUUAAAACCUUGAAUAAUUAGCGACCAGCGCAUAAGGCGUUGGUUUGUGUUUGACAUGCGUUGAAGAAAAACCAGGGGAUUGUGAUAUGUGUAAACUGUGAUGGGAACCAAACUACUACCUAAAUAAACCUCGAAAUGUUGCAAGGCGAGAAGAAGAGCUAAAGCCUCUUUCUCGAUGGUACUAUAAGCAAGUUGGUGUUUGAUGAAUUUUCGGGAGAAAUAACAAAUAGGAUGAUCAAUUUGGUGAUUGUCCUCUUGUAAUAGGACAGCGCCGGCACCCGUUUUGCUAGCGUCCACUUCCAUUUUAAACGGCUUAUCAAAAUCAGGUGUGGCAAGAACAGGAGAACUACUCAAUAAAGCCUUCAAGGAAUCAAAAGCAGAUUUGCAAGCAGAGGACCAGACAAACGGGACAUUCUUACCUAAAAGGUGCUGGGAAGGAGCUAAUAGCUUGGAUCUUUGCAUCAAGAGGUCGUACAGUACCAUUACCAACAGUUUUUCCAAGGAGCAUAUUCCAAUAUUGAGGCGACAGCUAACACCUUAGGCGAAGAAGGUGAGGGCAAAGACCCAGAAAGAUCGCCCGUAUCAAUGGAACUGCGAUCAAGGUAGGGUUUCAACAAAUUCACAUGACAUAUGCGAGUCUUACUACGGCGAUCUGGAGUUGCUAAUAUAUAGUUACUGUCAGUUUGCUUUUCAAUUAUUUUAUAGGGACCGGAGAAUCUGGUUUGCAAAGCGAAACCAGCAACAGGUAAAAGUGCCAGGACCCGAUCCCCAAUGUUAAAUGUGCGACUGACUGCCUUGAUAUCGAAGUGACCAGAGAGAUGGUGAUCAUGAGCCAAAGACAAAACUAAGGACCUGUAUGGAAGAGGAACCACAAUCUGUUUAACAGUCUCACAUUCACUGCUUGAACUUACAGGAGACCAGGACCUCAUCAAUACUCCAUCCUUAAUAAAGUAUUGUGAACGAC
Trichomycterus rosablanca is the source of this 2251-nucleotide long non-coding RNA. RefSeq lists it as uncharacterized. The transcript is spliced from 4 exons. The record is from RefSeq and is a predicted model, not a curated record. Lineage: Eukaryota; Metazoa; Chordata; Actinopteri; Siluriformes; Trichomycteridae.